RNAcentral lists this transfer RNA (72 nucleotides) under Amphiura sp. JN-2020. RNAcentral's name for it is "tRNA-Asn". It matches the Rfam family "tRNA". Rfam says of the family: Transfer RNA (tRNA) molecules are approximately 80 nucleotides in length. Their secondary structure includes four short double-helical elements and three loops (D, anti-codon, and T loops). Lineage: Eukaryota; Metazoa; Echinodermata; Ophiuroidea; Amphilepidida; Amphiuridae. The record is from RNAcentral.
UGGGUUGAAGCUUAUAGGUUGAGCAACUGGCCGUUAACCAGGAGGUAGUAGGGUUAAAGCCUGCCAACCUAA